This is a long non-coding RNA of Lycium barbarum (goji berry), 4139 nucleotides long. RefSeq lists it as uncharacterized. The transcript is spliced from 4 exons. NCBI's taxonomy places the organism in Eukaryota, Viridiplantae, Streptophyta, Magnoliopsida, Solanales, Solanaceae. The record is from RefSeq and is a predicted model, not a curated record.
AAGAAAUUCUGUAUGAUACCAAUAAGGGAAAAAGUUACCCCUAUAGGAAAAAAACUGUCCGAGUUCAAUUUAUACGUUCUUAUGUUCAAAAUGAAUGAAAACACACUGGUAGGGUUUCGAACUCACGUCUUUGAAAACAGAAAGCUUCUUUAACCUGUGCAUUACCACUUAAGCGAAACAUCGCCUCUUCUUGUUUUUUCUUUCUUUCCGGGUGACUUUCCAUGGAAAAUUUCUACUAAGGUGCACAAACUGAAGCACAGCCCAUUGAAUUGCAAAAAAAGAGUAGUGAAAAGGGAAGAACUUUGAUGCAGCCUAGGUGUUUGACGGUUUACCUAAAAUAACUGAAUAACUUUGUGUGCACUUCUUUUUCCAGCAAUCCCGAUUGAACAAUAUAUCAUGCAUUCUACAUCAUUUAUUUAAAGAGACAUUUUCUUGAAAUGUAUUCAAUUUGUUUCCAUCUAUGUGUUGUGUGCAUUAGCUCUUGCCUGUUUCUGUAGAAAAUAUUCCGCAAACUAAUUGUUUAUGAGGUUCCAGAAAGAGCUUAGUCUUGAUUUAUACAGCUAUUGUCUCCUCUUAUUUGUUUAUGGCUCUUUCAUUAGUUCAUCUCCUGGUCACCAUCUGCAUUAGUAUUUACUCUUUUUUCGUUUUUUGUUUCUAUGAAGCAUGUUUUAUCAUUACUGGCAUCAAGAAGGUGCAAAGAGUACAAAAGUAAAUAUGCCAGCUCCAUUACAUGAUAAAAUGAUAGGACCCGGGAGACUGCCAAAAAACCAAAAAAUCUGGAGAAGCCUUAGUAUGACUAUGCAGAGUUAAAGAGCUAACAAAAUCUAAGGGCCCGUUUGGCCAUGAAAUUUUUUCACUUUUUUCCAGAAACGUUUUCACUUUAUUUGUAAAUCAACGUUUGGCCAUGAAGAUUCCAAAUACAAUUUGAAGCUGUAUUUGGAAUUUGAAAAACACCAAAAAACUUGUUUUCACUUUCAAUACAUUAUAAACAACCAAAUAUUCUUUGCAAAAACUAUAACCAAACACAACUCUAUCUUCAACUCCAACUCCAAAAUACCAAAUAAAGUGGAAAAUAUUUGGUUUUCAUGGCCAAAUGCCUACUGAGAAAGCAGUAGAACGAUUCACAUAUGACUGAUUGGACCAACAAAAGAGACUAAACAGACAUCUAGCGGAUCAGUUAGGAAUUGAAAUUCCAUCAAAGCACCUGCUGUUCCUUUCUGUCUAAAGGCACCAGAAAUUCAUGCUGGUGUCAUUCUCCAGGAGUUCCUGGUGGCCCUAUCAACUCUUCAGCGGCUCCAGCUCACAACAACUUCUUUGCUAGUCUGAGGCAUCAUGCGGUGUUGAGGCUAAAGAGGGAAAAGAGAGCAUAUGCCACAUGUCUGCAGCCGCCAUACAAUGCAAGAAUAGAUGAUUAAUUGAUUCUGCAUUUUCUGACACAAAAAACAUCUGCUAACCAGCUGGAAACUUCUUCUACAAAGAUUGUCUUGUUGAAGAAGUGCUCCAGGCUAGUGCUACUGCCCAGAUUUUUCUCAUAAGUUGGGAUUUUUUUUUUUUAAUAACCUUGGUGUCCGGGCCAGCAUGUGUGCACUUGCCUAAUUCCACGCGAUAUGAAAGAGUUGGUCUUUGUUAUGUGAUAGAAAAACUGGAUGAUUUUCUAUUACUUGGAGCCAAAGGAUGCUGAAUUACUUGGAGCCAAAGAAUGCUCAAUUACUUGGAGCCAAAGAAUGCUAAGAUGUGGAGGAGAAUUGAAGAGCUCAUGUAGCACACUUGGAGCUCAAGUCAUUUAAUGCCUAUAAAAUGAGAGGAAAUUCUUCUUUGUUUAGCAUCUCAAAAGUCAUACAAUACAUUGUAGUGAGUAGAGAGUUGAGAGAACAAUUCUCUUAGGUGUAAUUGGGAAAUCUCCCCUUCCUUUGUUAAUAAUAUAAAGACAACUGUUCUCUGGUGGACGUAGGAUCAUUUUGAUCCGAACCACGUUAAAUCUUGUGGUCUUUCUUUUAUGUUUCCGCUAACACGAUACAUGCCACCUCCCACCAGCAACAGAUACUAGGUAACUCUGUCCAUCAAGCCUAGGACAGAUGAGAAGAAAUCACCUAGUGUUUUUGUCUCCGCUGGAUUUGAAGCUACGACCUCAUGGUUCUCAACCCACUUCAUUGACCACUAAGCCACACCCUUAGGUGCUCAUGAGUUGGGACUUGAGGCUAGGUUUUUUAUGAUCCUCAGGAGGUGUAUGAGCCUCAUUAGUUGAUCGAGUAAAUUAGAUUAGAAAUUGGUGGAAGUAAUAGAAAGAAGCAGCAAUAGCUGUUUAUAGAUGGCAUCAGUGUUAUCAAAAGCAAAAAGCGCAAAAAAACUCUAAGAUCAGCUGGGGCUUUAAGCGCAAAGGCGCAAAUAAAGUGUGGGCUUUAAUGAAAAAAGGGGCAAUGGUGCAAAAAUACAAAUAUAUAUAUGGUUAGUUCAAGACUAAUAAUAAUAAGCAUGAAUAACAAAUAUAUGGACAAAGAAAUUGUAAAAACAUUAUGAUAAAGUGAAAUAUCAAUUAUCAAGUGCCAUCUCUUCAAGAGAGGCUCAUUGGCAAGGAAAAUAUGUCUUAGAGCCUUGAUGAUGACACUGAAGCGCACAUAAAGCGAGGUGAAGCGUUCUAUGUUUUGAGCCUCGCUUCAGGGCUUAAGCGCGCCUUUGACAACACUGGAUGGCAUCCAGUGAAGUUGGCUCCAUUUUCCAUUUUCCAUGUCGGGAGUAUGUAUUUCAGUCUGUGUAGCUCCUCUAAUACUUGUAUUAAGACAUGCUUAAUUCUGUAAUAUGUUGAUAAGUGAGUAAAAUGGUGGAAGCAGUUUUCCAACUUUAGCUAUUGCGAGAGAUUACCAGAACCAAGGAAACUAUGCUUUCGCAGACUCAAUUGCACUAGUUGCAGUGGCGAAUUUAGGGCCUUUUUUUGGAGCACGUGAACACAUGGUCUCGCAAAAAAACUAGGUAUUUUAUGUAUAUAUUUUCUAAAAUUAGUAUAAUACUACCUACGGGAACACAUACUACAAAAGACUAAAUGGUGCACUUGGUUGAAAAUUAAGUGGUGAACCGAUGCUCCAGAAAUCCUAGAUUCACCUCUGACUAGUUGGGUGGAACUUCUACUUUUAAUGGUGCCAAAUAAAUCAUAAUCUGUGUUCUCCCCUCCCCGACAAAAAUAAGAAAGAAGAUAAGAAUGUGAUGGAAUUAUUAAAUAAUCUCAAUGGGCAGUACAUCUCUCUGCUCAACUGAAAGUGACAUCUUAUCUCCCUAUUUAUUUAAUCUUCCUUUGCUCUUGUCUUUGGCAUUUGGAGACAUGAGGACAUGAGGUCUGCAAAGUCCUCUUCUUUUGAUUAGUUAAGAUGUUUCAGGUACUAAUGUACUUCCACCGGAAUCAGAUGAUGCAAGUAGCAAAUGCUCCCCAUAUGCGGACUUAGGUGUCGUAACAUUUGUGAAGUUAUUGGGGAAAAUUCUAGAGAAACUCUAAUCCGGUUCUUGGACUACUAGUCUACUGGCACAUGUCAAACUCCAUAUCAACGUAGGAACCGAAUCUACAAAGGGUAGCAGCGCCAGUUGAGAGCUGCUUCACAAAAGGAGGAAGGUGGAGAUGGUGGUGGUGGUCAUCACUGACCUUUAUUCUUGAUCAUGGUUUUAUCAACCGAAAGGUAUGGAAGUAACUGUAUGUCGUUUUGAAUUUUGAAACAAAGAAUCAAAUCAGUUGCAUUUUAUGUGAGCUGUGGAUAAUUGAAAUGGCUCUGUUCAGUUUCUUUCUCAUGUGGCCAUGUUUUGUGGCUGAUAUCAACGUAUGUUUUAAAGGGCACAUUUGCUACCACUUGCACUGAGGACUUUGGUUUCAGUUUUUUCUUGGAAAUUUGGGACUCAUCAAAUGGAAUGAUCAUUUUUUUCAAGUGUAUUAUGUAAUCAAUUCGGAAGGAUCGAAUCUUGUUAUAUAGGAAAUAACAAGAACAGCUAAAACCUAAGAUACAGCUUAACAUCAAUUUCGGAAGGAUCCAAUCUCCAUUAGUUUUGUGUCUCUUGCAAACACUUCUUAGAUAAAUUAAUUUGGCUAGUAAUUGAUCUGCAUUUUCAAUUGUAACCAUAUGUUAUCUUGCGUAAUAAUGGAAUCAUAAUUUGCAUGCGCA